CGCUUUAUUUGUGUGACCAUCAUUUCACUUCGGUUCCCCAAAAUUUUCUCUCAUAUAUUUACCUUUCUGCUUUCGACAAUGUCUCGACGUGGUGGCGGUGGUCGUAGGCCGGAUUCUCGCCUUGACCAGCCGACUCAGGCACGGGCGCCGUCAUUCCAGCGGGGUGGCGGCGGAGCCGCUGGACCACGCGGCCGAGGUCGUCAAGGUCAACGUGGGGGUGCUGGUAGUGGAUCGCAUUCCGGCUCCGGUGCAGCCCCGUCCUCACCGCACACCGCUUCGACUUCGACGGAGCCGGCUCCUUCGUCUCCGUCUGUUUCUGCUUCUGCUCCUUCUUCGUCUUCAGUCUCUACUCUUGUCGAAGAAACGGAGCAGAAACUGACAUUGGCGGCACCAGCGGCGGCUACACUUCCGCCUUCGUCGUCGCGGGCGGUGAGACUUCCAGUGAGGCCGGGAUUCGGAACCCGUGGCAGAAAAUGUGUUGUCCGAGCAAAUCACUUUAUGGUGCAACUUGCCAAGAGAGACAUUCAUCACUAUGAUGUAAGUCUACUUUUAAUUUUAACUUCGUUAUUUUUGAAAACGUUUUGACUCUUUUUAUUUUUUAUUUUCCGUUUUUCUCGUCAAUUAAGGUUUCAAUUGAUCCAGAGGUGACGUCACAAAAGAUCAACAGAGAAAUUAUUUCUCAGCUGAUUAACUUAUAUCGGCUGACUAACUUGGGUGAACGAAUACCUGCCUAUGAUGGUAUGAAGAGCAUUUACACUGCAGGGCCGCUGCCUUUUGAAUCGAAGGAAUUCAUUAUCACGUUACCUGAUAGUGAUCCUCGUCCCAGCUCAUCUGCCAGCCCGGGGUAUCUCAUGCUUUUAACACGUGUGUUUCUUGAAUAUUGUUGAUUGUGAGUUUUCUUGAUUUAAUGUGUCGAGUGAUUUCUUAUGCAGAACGGAGCGUCAGUUUAGGGUGGUUAUCAGAUUGGCGUCGCAGCCUUAUGUUUACACUCUACAGAAGUUCAUACAAGUGCUUGAUGUUGUUCUCAGAGCAGCUCCAUCAGAGAAGUAUUUAACCUUAACUGUGUUAAUAAAAGUUUCACUUUUUGUUAUGUAUGAUAUAGGAUGUUCCGUGCCCAUGCCAGCAUUUGCUUGUUCAUGCAACUGAUUGAGCAUUUGAUUUCUGAGGAACAAUUUUAUUAUUGUCUAUUUUGUGCCUUGAACAAUUUAGGUUUUAGAAUGGUUAAUUAAUGAAAUGAUGAACUUCUGCAUCAGGCAUACAGUUGUGGGAAGGUCAUUUUUCUCAACUGAUCUUGGACCAAUGGGUCAGCUUGGUGAUGGCAUUGAAUAUUGGCGUGGAUAUUUUCAGAGUCUUCGCCCAACCCAAUUUGGGCUAUCUCUUAAUAUUGGUUUUUCUCAUUAUAUUUUAUAUAAUUUGAUGCUGCUUAUCUUUAUAUUAUCCAAGCUUGAUUUUUUCUUUUUUAGGUGUAGCACUGCUACAUAAAUAUUUGCUUUUGCUGUUGCAGAUGUUUCAGCCAGCUCCUUUUAUAAGCCAAUUCUAGUUACUGAGUUUGUUCAGUAUUAUUGCAGCGACUUAUCACGUCCUCUUUCUGAUCAAGUGCGUCUGAAGGUAUUGUCUAGUCUUCUUUCGUGAUGUCAUGGUUAUAAUUAAUUUAGUAUCAACUUAAUGAGCUAUCUAUUGGGCGGUUAAAAGUUUUAAUUGAGGGCUGCAGCACCGUAAUAUAUUUGUGAUAAGAGCCUUUUCAAAGAAUGAUCACAGAUUUGUUAGGCAAACCGUUCAGUAAUGUUUUAGAUGCUGUGUAUAAUUAAUUGCAAGUAAUUAGCAGUUUAAAAUUUCAAAUUUCUUGCAAAUUUUGGAUAGGGUAAUUUCUUAAUUUGUGGCUGAACUGGUGGGUAGUGAGUAGUGUUGUUCUCGGCCAUUGAAAUCUAAAUAGAAUGAGCUCCCAAGUCUAGGGGGAAUAGAAUGUUGAUGACAGUGUUUGAUGAUUAAUGUAGGAAGUUGGUGUAUAAUUUGGCCUAUAAUUCUGAUGAUAAAGAAAUGAGAUCUUGAAAUGGCGGUUUUAAAAAUCUUCCACGCAUUCAUUUGCAAUUGUACAGUUAUCUUGAUCAACUUAUUAUCAUUCCGUUACGUAUAUUAGCAAUCUUUUGAACUAUCUGUAAAAUUUUUACUUUUGAUCUAUUUUGGCCGCUAUUUGACAACCGCCCUUUAAUUAUUUUCAAAAUUAUUGCUGGGAAUGGGAUAGAGACACGUGGUCAAUGAUAUUAAUAUAAUUGUUUAAUUCUUGACUUCUAGGUGAAAAAGGCAUUGAAGGGAAUAAAGGUAGUGCUCAGGCAUAUGGGGUACAACUUAAGUUGCAAGAUCACUGGAAUAACCAGUCAACCGAUGAGCCAAGUAAUGUAUGUGUGUGUGUAAUUAACUGAUAUACAAGUGUAAGAACACUGUCCAACUUGUGGUGAUAGAGUGUGAUAACAUAACUUGGUGGUUUGGUUGUGUUUAUGUUGGUCGAUUUGUUUAUGUUAGCUGAUUCUUGAGUCCCCCACGCCAUUUGAGAAGCAUACUUUAUGUUGCCUGCUUUUGUCGUCAUCUGAAAUCCACAUAUGGUUAAAUUUGUCUUUUGUGUUGUAUUUUAUGUAUGAUUGAACUACUUGGUGGUAAAAAGUUUGGUGGAUGUGUCUCAAAUCAAUUUCUCAAAUCUGAUAUGUGAUAGUAGUUGGCUACUAUGUAGUGCGAUGGUCACUUGAUAUUGCCUGUAACAGUGAUGUAUCCCUCCUUCCAUGUUAUAGUAGGCAUUCACGUUAUAUCUUCCCUUUGAUUGUAUUUGCUAGGUUUACUUGUGACAAUGAGACAAGGUCGGUGGUUCAAUAUUUUCUUGAAAAACAUAAAAUUGCGCUUCAAUUCACGUCAUUGCCUGCCCUUGAAGCUGGAACUGAAGAGAGGCGCAUUUAUUUGCCAAUGGAGGUUCUAUGAUCAAAAGACUACUUUCGUUCUUUGUGUCUGGAAAAUAAUUUAUUUAAGACUUAUUUAUAGAAUAUUUUUGUUUACAGCUUUCUAGGAUUGUUGAGGGACAGAGAUAUACUAAAAGAUUAAAUGAAAGACAAGUAACUGCUCUUUUAAGAGCAACCUGUCAGCGUCCUCAGGAUCGUGAAGCAAAUAUACAGAUGGUAGAGCAUUGUUGUAAUUUCUUACAUCUGUGGUGGAUCUUUUUUGGAUGAUUAAUCUGGGAGCUAUCUUCUUGUGAACAAAGAGAGUUUCUGAUUCUUGCUUCUGGGUUUGACAUUCUUCUGCAGAUGGCUAGGGAAAAUGCUUACAAUGAAGAUACUCUUGUGAACAACAAGUUUGGAAUUCAAGUGGCUGAUGGUCUUACAUCGGUUGAUGCUCGAAUCCUACCUGCUCCAAUGGUAAUUAUGUGUCGUUUUGUUUUAUUUGUAACAGAUAAUGGUACUUCCAAUCUCCUUAUGCUUAACUUUACCUCCUGUAAUGCUGCAGCUUAAAUAUCAUAAAAGUGGCAGAGAAGCAAGCGUGAAUCCUGAUUUUGGGCAAUGGAACAUGAUUAACAAGGUGAAUUACUAAUUAUUAUUUUAUUCCGUAGUUGUUGAUUUGUGCUUAGGAAGAGCAUAGGGAAGCAGUUACCACUUGUUUAAAUUGGUUGAGGGAUGUUUAUUGACUGAUGGGUAGGAUGGGUUGGAAGUUGAUUUGCUACAUUUGAUGCAAUGUGGAUGUGCUGCAGUUCUUUUCCAACCAUAAUUUUUGAUUUUUUUUUUCCAUUUUAGCAUGCUGUAAUUUCUAUUUAGUUAUAUACUUUUUCAUCUUUGACAAGCAUUGUAUCUGAUAUUCACUUAGGUAUUUGGAUUGUAUGUGCUUGGUGUUCAGUUCAGUCCACUUUGCCUUCUGAACGAGAAGCUUUUAUUUUUUCACAAUGAAUUAUUUUGUGUAAUUUUGGUUUUACAGAAAAUGUUCAAUGGUGGGACAGUGCAAGUUUGGACUUGUAUGAACUUCUCCACACGUUUGAACCACGAUGUGAGCGGGUUCUGUCAACGGUUGGUAGACAUGUGCAAUAAAAAGGGAAUGGUAUGGUAAUGUUAUUUGUUUUGCAAUUCAUGUUAGCAAAUCAGGUUAAUGAUCUCUCUGAACCGACUUUUUUCUUUUGGGGGGGUCUGUGUUUGUCAUGCCAGGUAUUUAACCCGCGGCCUGUCAUUCCCAUAAGUUCAUCCAACCCAAAUCAAAUUGAGAAGGCACUUGUAGACGUUCGCAAUAAGACUACUCAGCCAGGGAAACAGCUUCAGCUGUUGAUAAUUAUUUUACCUGAUGUUAGCAGAUCAUAUGGUGAGUGAUAAAUUUAAUCCAUGAUUAAACUUUUAUGUCAGCUUUGGUUUUGUUCAACAUUAUCGGCUUUCUGCUCGCAGGAAGAAUUAAGCGAGUUUGUGAAACAGAACUUGGGAUUGUUUCACAAUGCUGUCAGCCUAAGCACGUAUCCAGUGGCAAUAUGCAGUAUUUUGAAAAUGUGGCUCUUAAAAUCAAUGUGAAGGUUUGGUUUGCCCCCAUUUUUUUGUGUGUUCAUUAUCAUGGUUAAUAUUUGAGAACAAAUACAAGGGUUAGCAGGAAAACAUGUAGGAGAUGAAUAUAUAUAUAUUUUUUGGCAAUUUAAUUUCAGUCUUGCUUUGCUGGAAUUAUUGUAAUUUUUUUUCUUCAAAUAAUCAAAUUCUGAUGUUCAAGAUAUUUUUAUAAGUGUUUGGGAGUGCCAAAAUUUCUUGUUAAAAUUGAUAGGUUUGCUUAUUGGUCCUGGAGAUUCAGUUUACUAUUUGUAAUUUUAUCAGGUUGGAGGACGAAACACUGUGCUCGAUGAUGCUGUUCAGAAAAGAAUUCCUCUUGUGACUGAUAGACCUACAAUUAUAUUUGGUGCAGAUGUCACCCAUCCACAACCAGGAGAAGACUCUAGCCCUUCAAUAGCGGCCGUAUGUGCACUCAUUUUCUGUUUCUGCUUUCUAGUAAUUCACUCUGUUAAAAGAUUGAAUUGACUGAGACAGGUGGUGGCCUCAAUGGAUUGGCCAGAAGUAACCAAGUACAGAGGACUUGUCUCUGCUCAGGCACAUAAUGAGGAAAUUAUCCAAGAUCUCUAUAAAUCUAUUAAAGAUCCUCAGAGGGGUUUAGUUCAUGGAGGGAUGAUCCGGUUAGUAGACAUGGAAGUACAUAUCAGGUGCCUUAUUAUUAAGAGAACCUUAUGCUUCUGUUUGUCUUUUACAGGGAACUGUUAAUUGACUUCAGAAGAUCAACCAACUUCAAACCUCACAGGAUUAUUUUCUAUCGGUAAUGGCUGUUUUCAACGUUAAACUGCAUGUUUUGUAUAAUGUUACUGAUGUUGUUUAAUUUAUGUGCCAGAGAUGGUGUUAGUGAAGGGCAGUUCAGUCAGGUUUUGCUCCAUGAAAUGAAUGCUAUCCGGCAGGUAAUACUGAUGAGUUCUGAAGUUAAUACAAUUUUCUUGUGUUCUGGAGAUUUUCAAUGUCUAGUUUCAGUUGAUUUCUUGUUGAUGACUUUUGUUGCAACAUGCUAAAUUGACUUAUUUCCAGGCCUGUGCCUCAAUUGAGGAGGGAUAUGCGCCACCAGUUACGUUUGUUGUGGUACAGAAAAGGCAUCAUACUCGCCUUUUUCCUGCUGAUCACAACAGACAUGGUCUGACAGAUAAGAGAGGAAAUAUUUUACCAGGUUCCAAGUUUGCUUUGUAUCAUUAAUCUUUAUUUUCUGUUUGCUUCUUUUGAGUAUUCACAAAGGUUGGGAACCAUGUUGUUGCUUAACCUUGUCUUUGAUGAAUACUUUUCGGAUGUUCUUGUGUUAGGAACUGUUGUUGAUACUCAAAUUUGUCACCCUACAGAAUUCGAUUUUUACCUCAACAGCCAUGCAGGAAUUCAGGUUAAAAAAAAAAAUUAAGUUUGCUCUUUCAAUCCAGGUUAAAAAAAAAAAAAAUUAAACAAUGUUCCCCCUUCCCCCCCCCCUUUAAUUUUUAAAUUUGUUGGACUGAUUAAGGUGUUUAUUCCAGGGAACCAGUCGCCCAACUCACUACCAUGUAUUGUAUGAUGAGAACCGUUUUACUGCAGAUGACUUGCAAAUGUUAACAAAUAACUUGUGUUACACGUAAUAUGUUUACCUUCUCUAUAAUCGGAUUUAAUAUUGCAUUGUUGAAGAAUUUAUCUUUCGAGUGGUUAUUUUGUAAGUUUUUGACUCGUGGCCCAUUUUCAGGUAUGCAAGGUGUACUCGAUCAGUUUCAAUAGGUCUGAUCCUUUGUACUUCUAUUGUUUUACUAAAAACAUUUUGAGUCAAUGAAUUAUUAUUAUUCUGGCUAGCAUUGAUUGAUUUUUUUUUUCUUUUUAUUUUUUGUAUUGGCUGUUUUCAUAUGGCAGUGCCUCCUGCAUACUAUGCACGUUUAGCAGCUUUUCGGGCUCGUUUUUAUAUCGAGGAUGAAACAUCUGCGGGUGGAUCCACAGGAGGGACUAGGAGCACGGCGGAGGGGAGUUUGGCUAUCCGGCCUCUUCCCGUCAUCAAGGAUAAUGUGAAAGAUGUAAUGUUUUACUGCUGAAAGUAGUCUCCAGCAUCAAUCCUCUUUGUCAUGGUUUUCAUCAAGGCUUGACGUGUUUUGGUAUAUGGAGUACCAGCGUGGUGCCCUUUUUGGACAGUACUGUUAUUUUGGGAGUAGUUUCAAAUUGGACAUCAAGGGUAGAAACUGAUUCUCCUUAUGUUAAAAAUGCUAGCUGCAUAUUGUCCUGGUUAAUGCUGGUUAAUGCCUUGUAAAUUUAAAUGCCAAAAAACUUCAUUUCUUGGUGGGGUUAUUUGAUCUCACUGCACGCUUUUUUAAAUUAACAUUUUUGGACAGUGCUGAUUAUCUCACUGCACUCUUUUUUCAAUUAACAUUUUUAUUCUGAAAACAUAAUUGGAUCAAUUAUAUAUUUGAUCUUAUUUUCUCUCUCGAUCUCUUUCCCUUAACCAAAAUUUAUUGUAAUAUGUGAAGUACGUAUUGAAUUUUCUAAUUAUUCGAAAAGUAAUAAAUUCAGCUCAAUGGUAAUUAGAAACAAGAUGAAAGAGACAAUGUUAAUCAUUUAGAAAUAAAAAUAAGAGUUUUUAGACUGUUCUAAAUUUGUUAGAAUUUUGAGGAAGAUGAAGUUGAUUUUGGAGAGAGAAUAAAAUUGAAAAGUAGUUUAAGCUUUGAUCAUUACUACAGUAGACAGAGAAAAAUUAGAGCCAAUUUGGGAUUGCGAAGGCAUAUAAAAUAAGCAGCUUGUAGUGUACAGGUGAAAUAAGUUGUUAAUAAAAAAAAGUAGUUUAAUGUUUGGCAAAUUGUACUGUUGUGGUUGCUGAGAAUUUGAAUAGUACAAUACAUGCGUUUGGUAAAUUAUAUUACGAAAGUAUUGUUUUAUUAUAUAAUGAGCAAAAUAAAUACAAGUUUUAAUUACUUUUUAUUUUUAAAGUAUGUUUAAUAAAUUAUUUACUUUUUGAGAGCUCAAGCAACUCCGUUGCUUCUUCCACUUUUGCAGCCAAUGACUCAAAGUGAAUCCAACAGCACGAGCAGCUCGGAGUGAUCCAUUUCCAAAAGCAUCUCAGUAAUCUUUGGUGAAAGAUCACACUGUCCAAAAGUUAAAAAUGUACAUCAAUGGUAGAAACUGAUUCUCCUUAUUUAAAAAAUGUUAGCUGCAUAUUGUCCUGGUUAAUGCCUUGUAAAUUUAAAUGCCAAAAAACUUCAUUUCUUGGUGGGGUUAUUUGAUCUCACUGCACUCUUUUUCAAAUUAACAUUUUUAUUCUGAAAACAUAAUUGGAUCAAUUAUAUAUUUGAACUUAUUUUCUCUCUCAAUCUCUUUCCCUUAACCAAAAUUUAUUGUAAUGUGUGAAGUAAAUAUUGCAUUUUAUAAUUAUUCAAAAAGUAAUAAAUUCAGCGCUAUGGUAAUUAGAAACAAGAUGAAAGAGACAAUGGUUAUCAUUUAGAAAUAAAAAAUAAGAGGCUUUCGACUGUUUUAAAUUUGUUAGAAUUUUGAGAAUUUAAAGUUGAUUUGGAGAGAGAGAACAAAAUAAAAAGUAGUUUAAGAUUUGAUCAUUGUUACGGUAGACAAAGAAGAAUUAAGGUCAAUUUAGGAUUGCGGAGGCAGAUGAAAUAAACUGUUUGUGUUGUGCAGAUGAAAUAAGUUGUUGAUAAAAAAAAUAGUUUGGUGUUUAGUAAACUGUGCUGUUGUGGUUGCUGUGAGUUUAAAAAGUGGAGUACAUGCAUUUGAUAAAUUUUAUUACGAAAGUAUUGUUUUAUUAUAUAAUGACCAAAAUACAUAUAAGUUUUAAUUGCUUUUUAUUUUUAAAGUAUGUUUAAUAAAUUAUUUAUACAUUUCUUUUUUUCUUAUUGUUGUUUUAUAUAAUGACCAAAAUAGACAUAAGUUUUAGUUACUUUUUAUUUUUAAAGUAUAUUUAAUAAAUUAUUGAGACUUUUUUUUUCUCAAAUGCGUAAAAUUAUAUUAAAAACUUAAUUAAAAAAAUCUAGAGAACUUCAUAAUUUGUUACAUAAAAUAUGAUAAAAAUAAAGUUAUGAUUCAUAUAUUAGGGUUUAUAAAAUCUAGGGUUAUAAUAGGAAAUUUAAAAAUGUAUGGUAUCUUAUUAAAUAAGUUGCUUAUGAAAAGCAACUCCUUACCAGCUUUUAAAAAGCUACUGACAAAAUGCAGAAAAUUAUAAAAUAAGUUGUUUUUACAAAAUUUAACAAAUACUAUUUUUAUUAAAAAUUAUGAAAUAAGCAAGUUAUUGAAUUUCAACUGCAAUCCUAAACUGACUCUUAGUUAAUCAAAUAUUUUUUGUGACUUUUGAGAAUUAGUGAAUUAAAAUAAUAAAUUAUAAUUAAAAAAUGGUUGUAAGAAGGAAAAUUAAAGUUUGCCUCAAUUGUUUGAUUAGGCGAAUGAUGCAUGUGUACAUGUAGUUGUUUUUAACUAAGAUGUAUAAAUAGAUGAACAAAUACUGCAAAAGCGAAAGUAUUGAAUUAAAAAAUGUCAUAAAAAUGUGGGAUAUUAUCAUUUUCCCACUAAAUGUAUUCUGACAUAUCAUGUCAGUACCAUGGUUUGGUAAAACUAUUAUUUUACCACCAAACGUUUAAACUGUUAGCAUUUUUCCACAAUUCCAUUAAAACUUAGUUAAUAUGUAACGGAAAAUUCAUAAAAGGUCAAUUUUACCCCUGGAGCGUAAAAGAUGAUUUUGCCCUUUAAGAAUAAACAACAACAAAUGAUGAUUUAAUUACAAAAAUAACCCCAAAAGUAGCCGAUACAUUCAAAUAACGGCUACUUUUAUGCUUAUAAGAGCUGUUGCUGGUUUGGAUCACGAAUGCAUGACAGAAAUAAUCCUUUUGCUUGUCGUGGGCUUCGAGGGAUGACCAACUAGAAAAUUCACUGAUUAAGUAUUGGAAGCAAUGCAAAACAUCAAACAAUUUUAGAAGGGAAGUGCUAAACUUCAGCUCCCUUGCAAAAGGAUUAGGACCAAUUGAAAGAUUUUCUAUAAUCUCAAAGGUACAACAAAAUAGUUUCUUUGGACUCCUCAUGAACUGCAGUUAGCAUGCGGAGCAUUGCCUGUUAGAGUUGACUGUUAGCAGUAGCAAGUUUCUGGGAAUUAAGUUUCCACUUUAGAGGGUGGAGUCCUCCAGAAAUAGACGGGUAAAGAGUAAAGACUAGAGAAAUUAGAGAAAUAGAAGAUUUGUAUUUUGGAUUCAGGGAACUCCCCUUUUUCUUGUUCAUUCAUUUCCUUAAAUACUCCUCCAAGAGAGCUAUAGACAAAACAUAUUCACAGCACAAACUUUACAGCACAAUAUUCUCUCUAACAAACUUGACAGCACAGCAAAACAUAAUUGCAAUAAUAGUAAAUAACAAAUUCAGCAUAAUAUCUUGAAGAGUAUCUAAGUGCUGUAAUCGGUUGCACCAUCAUUCCCGCACAAAAUCUUGAAGCUUGAAGGGAACUUUGGGCUGUCUCUUAGGCCUAGCUUGAGCAAUCGGCUGUGCAGUGGUUGUAUCAUUACCACCCUCAUGGAAAUGAGCCUUGUCCUCAAGGCUAAUAUAAGGAAAAGUGGCGUGGAAAGGUUCCCAAUUCUCCCAUGUAGCUUCAUCAGGUGUCGUGUUAGACCACUGCAUUAAGACUUGCUUGACCUUUUGCUUAUUUGUCUUGAUAGUUUGCUGGUCCAAAAUGCAUAAAGGUAUGGAAUAAGGGUCUGCAGUUGGGGGUGGGUGGGCGGGAAUAACUUCAGUAGGGUUUGGACAUAACUUGAGGAUUGAAAUGUGGAACACGGGAUGGAUACAAGAUUCAGGUGGUAACAAUAAGCAAUAUGCAACCUUUCCAACUCUUGCCGUUAUUUGGUAAGGACCAUAAUACUUCUUGGCAAGCUUGUUACUUAGACGGUGAGCAAGAGAAGACUGUCGAUAACGUUGAAGCUUAACAUAAACCCAGUUACCAACCUCAAACUCCUUAUCGCGACGAUGACGAUUUGCUUGGGUGCGCAUUCUUUCAUGUGCUCUUUGAAGGUUCAGCUUGACAGUAGCCAAUAGAGCUUCUCUAUCCAAUAAUGCAGAGUUUAAAGAAUCAAUAGGGGUGUCUUCGCUGGAGUAUCCUACAAGAGGUGGUGGGGGCCUGCCAUAGACAACUUGGAAUGGUGAAAAUCCUGUAGAGCUGUGUGUACUGGUAUUGUACCAAUAUUCGGCCCAUGGUAAAGUUGCAGACCAUCUAUUUGGAUAGUCUCCAGUAAAUGCUCGCAAGUAUGUCUCGAGACAACGGUUGACCACUUCUGUUUGCCCGUCAGUUUGCGGGUGAUAAGCAGUGCUAGGCCGUAACUCCGUUCCCUGCAAUUUAAAUAGUUCUCGCCAAAAUUCACUAAUGAACAGAGGAUCACGAUCAGUAACAAUGGAUCUAGGGAAUCCAUGAAGUCGAACGUACUCGCGAACAAAAUAUUCAGCCAAUUUCGGUGCAGUAACUCCCUCCGGCAAGGCACAAAAAUGACCAUACUUGGACAGUCUAUCAACAAUGACCCAAAUAAUUGUCUUAUCGUUUGAUUGUGGUAAAGAAGUAAUGAAAUCCAUUGAAAUGUCUUCCCAGACUCUGGAUGGUAUGGGCAGCGGUUGUAAAAGCCCCUUGGAAUAGAAGUUUUCUGGUUUGGUUGCUGACAAAUUGAACAUUCUCGAAUAUGUUGCUGUACCUCUCGGCGCAUUUGCAGCCAAUAAAAAUUAGCUGAUAAUCGAGCAUAAGUCUUUUGUUCCCCAGAAUGCCCGCCAAUCACCGAGCCAUGGAAUAGGUUUAGAAGGCAUUUUCUGAGCUUCAUACUGUUAGGAACAAAAAUUCUACCCUGAUGGUAAAGUAAGUCUUGUUGAAUAGAAAAAUUAUUAUCUGUGCAAACCCCUUUCUCAAUUGACUACAGAAUUUGUUGGGCCGUGUCAUCCAAAGCAAGGGCAUCUCGAAUUUCAGUUAGGAAAGUGCUAGUAGUGACUGAAAUUGACAUCAGAUUACCUUGUGCUUCGCUUGUCCAUCGUGAAAGAGAAUCGAGUCCACUAUUUUCCACCCCAGCCUUAUGCUCAAUUGUAAAUUCAAACCCUAACAGCUUUGUCAACCAAGUUUGUUGCUUUGGUGUCUGUAUCGUUUGUGUAAGGAGUUGCUUAAGGCUUUUAUGAUCAGUGAAUAUCGUGAAAGGUCGGCCCAAGAGAUAUGGUCGCUAUCGUCGAACUGCUGCUGUGAUUGCAUACAUCUCACGACUAUACGCAGAUGUAGAUUGAAGUCUUGGUGGCAACUUCUUACUGAAAUAAGCUAUUGGAUGUCGAUUUUGGGAGAGAAUCGCACCCACAGCGAGACCAGAGGCAUCCGUUUCCACUGCAAAGACUUUGGAAAAAUCUGGUAAGGCUAAGAUAAGAACUUCAAUCAGAGCACGUUUGAGACGCUCAAAAGCUAAGUCAGCUGCUUCACCCCAGUCAAAUCCAUCCUCUUAAGCAAAUCAGUUAAUGGGCUUGUAAUUUGGGCAUACCCCUUUACAAAACGUCGGUAAUAUCCUGUGAGUCCCAGGAAACCCCUCACAGCAGCAAUUAUUUUUUGUUUAGGCCAAUUUAAGACAGCUUGAAUUUUGGUGGGAUCAACACUCACUCUUUGGGCUGAAACAAAAUGGCCGAGAUACUCUAAUUUAGCUUGGCCAAAACUGCACUUGGAUAACUUAGCGUACAAUUGGUUUUGAUGGAGCAGCUGGAGAACAAUUUUGAGAUGGUAAAUGUGUUCCUCAUGGGAUCGGCUGUAAACAAGAAUGUCGUAAAAAAAAACUAGAAUAAACUUACGAAGAUAAGGUUUGAAAAUAGAGUUCAUUGUGGCUUGAAAUGUGGAGGGGGCAUUGGACAGCCCAAAGGGCAUUACAAGAAACUCGUAAUGACCUUCGUGUGUUCGAAAUGCAGUUUUUGGAAUGUCGGGUGGGUGGAUCCGAAUUUGGAAAUACCCACUCCGUAAAUCAAUCUUUGAAAAGAUGAUGGCCCCAUGUAAUUCAUAUAGUAAUUCAUCCACUGUAGGUAUUGGAAAUCGAUCCUUGAUAGUGAUGGCAUUUAGAGCUCUAUAAUCGACACAAAAUCGCCAUGUCCCAUCUUUUUUGCGAACCAAGAGGACGGGUGAGGAGAAUGGGCUGGUGGAAGGUUGUAUAAUUUGAUCUUGAAGCAUUUCUUGAACUUGCCUUUCGAUUUCAUUUUUUUGGUAAUGGGGGUAGCGGUAUGGUUUAAUAUUCACAGGAGUAGAUUAUGGGAGAAGAGUGAUUUUGUGGUUGAGGGGUCUAUUAGGUGGAAGGCCUUUUGGGAUGCUAAAAAAAACUGGAUACUGGUUUAGUAGUGUUAGGAAAUCUUGGUGAAGAGUGGAAUCCAUGGAUUGGUGAAUAUUUUGGGUUGAAGGUGGACUGUCUGGUUCGAGUUCUAAACGGAAGUACUGAGCUAUUGAGGUAGUCUGUUGUAGUCUUUUUAGUUGGUGGAAGGAUAUAGGAAUGGGGUGGGGCCGAAUGUUUUGAGCUCCUUCAAGUUUAAUAGGCUGCCCUUUUAUAUGUAAAUUCCAUAGUUAGGGCUUUGUGAUCAGUGAUAAUUUUCCCCAACUUCUCCAGCCACUGUACCCCUAAAACAGCAUCAGCUCCACAAAAAUCUAGUAUAUGAAAGUCAGCUUCAAAUUCAACACCCUGCAUCUCGAGUUUAACUUUCGAACAAUGACCUUCGCUACGAAUCCGUUCCCCAUUGCCGACAGCUACCAAAAACGUCAUUGUCUUAUCAAUAGCCAAAUGAAGAAAGUGAGCCAACCGCGGGUGGAGGUAAUUAUGUGUACUCCCAGUGUCAAUUAAUACUGAUAAAGGUUGAUUGUUAAUUUUAGCACUGAGUCUGAAGGUUUGGGGACCAGUUGUUCCAAUCAAAAUAUGAAAAGAAAUUUCGGGGCUUGGAUUUGCUGUUUCUUCGGUAGGCACCGUAUCCUCCACCAAUAUUUCUUCUUCUUGAAAAUUUUCUGAUGGUUCCUCUGUCAACAAUAACAGAAAAGGGCGAGUGCGACAACGAUGACCGGGCUUGAAUCGUUCAUCGCAAUUGAAGCACAAGCCUUGGGCACGACGGGUUUGCAUUUCGGCGGUCGUGACACGACAAAUAGGAAGGGUUGUCUUUGGUGGGUUUGAUGGAUUUGGUGGUGGGAGGGGUAAAAGUGAGGGCCGUGGGUCUGGCCGUAUAUUUGUUUCGUUGCGUGUAAGUAUGGGUAUUGGUGUAUUGGUUGAUUUCCAUGAAAUGGAUUUUUGGUUAUAGGACAGCAAUUUAUCUUCAAUCAAUUUGGCUAAAGCAAUUGCAUCAGGAAGGUUAGAAGGUUUGUGAAUGGCUAACUCAUUUUGAAUGGUUGGUUUUAAACCUGAGAUGAAGCAAUCUAAAAUGGCAUCUGGGUGAAGGUUGGUGACUAUGUUGCAGAUGUUUUCAAAGGCUGAUUGGUAAGCCUCUACAGAGCUUGUUUGGGUAAGUUUGAAUAGAGUGGCUCUAUGAUUAAUAUAGGAGGAAGGGCCAAACCUGCUUUCAAUAGCUCGGGUGAGAGCUGCCCAAGAAGAUAAUUGUUGAUUCUUGUGCAUCCAUUGGAACCAAGAGAGUGCUUGGCCAGUCAUAUAGAAACUGGCGAUGUCAAUCCGCUGCUCCUCUGGGGUUUCAUAGAAAGAAAAGUAUUUUUCAGCUUGAAAUAUCCAAUCUAAGGGAUUAGAUCCAUCAAAUGUUGAUAGAUCACAUCGUAUAGAUCUUGUGCUUUGUGUGGGUUGUAGUUGAGCUUGUAUAGGUGGUGUGUUUUGUGGCGUAGGUGGUGCAGAGGCUGGUGGGUUUGUGGAGGACCCAAUCUGAGAGGGUGCCAUCACGGUAACGCUGGCAGCAAGCUCUGCUAUAGAGUUUUGUAGUGCUUGUUGUGCACCUUGUAGGUUUUGUUGUGAACUUUGGUUAAUUUGCUGCUGUUGUAUUAUGAUUUGGCGUAGGUCUUCAAGGGAUUUUGGGUCGAUUCUUUGAAUUGUGUGACCUGUUCUUCAAGGGCUCGAUAUCGUGUUUGCAUACCCUCGUUUGCCAUCUCUCAAUGAAAGCACCAAAUGUUAGAGUUGACUAUUAGCAGCAGCAAGUUUCUGGGAAUUAAGUUUCCACUUUAGAGGGUGGAGUCCUCCAGAAAUAGAAGGGUAAAGAGUAGAGACUAGAGAAAUUAGAGAAAUAGAAGAUUUGUAUUUUGGAUUCAGGGAACUCCCCUUUUUCUUGUUCAUUCAUUUCCUUAAAUACUCCUCCAAGAGAGCUAUAGACAAAACAUACUCACAGCACAAACUUUACAGCACAAUAUUCUCUCUAACAAACUUGACAGCACAGCAAAACAUAAUUGCAAUAAUAGUAAAUAACAAAUUCAGCAUAAUAUACUUUGAGACCAGGAACGUGACAAAAGAAAGCUUCAGGAGAUUGCGAGUGAUAAUGUCCAUCAUGGCCCACAGCUCCGUAAAGGGCUCUUACUGUUAAUCCUGGGGAAUCACAUGAAGGCCCUUCAAGGACAAAACAAGAGCAGAGAGACGGGGAGGAAGAAAAACUAAAAAAGAAAUAACCAGAGGGGAGCAUUGGACAAUAAACGGAGCAACAUAUUACCUCCACAAUUAAAUUGAUUUCCACUCCUGUAUCUGAACUUAGCAGCUUCAUUGACAAUCUACCAAGAAGAUUAUGUCAACUAAAGGUGAAUUAUAAAACCACAAGAGAUGCUAGUUUCUGGAAGAGAGCUAUACCUUAUCAAAAGCUGGAAAAAUAUAAUCUGCAAAUUGAAUUUCAGCUAUAGCUCGAUUUCCCUAUCACACAUGAAAUGAAAGCAAGGGAUAUGUACAUCAUAUUAGAGGUUCCUGAGGAACUAUGCUGAGAAUGACUUCCCAGCUUGUGCAUUUUAAACAUAAGUUUCUGAAACAAACCAUAGCUGCCAGACCAAUGGCAAACCCAACGAUGCCCUACAUACAAAAAAGAUAAUACGAACCUAUCAAAUAUGCAUAGCACAGAAGAGUCCAAUAUUAGUGCGUGGAAAGAGAGUGAGACUCUCUAUUUGACAGUAAACAUUUCACGUGAUAUGUCCAAAAUACCCUUAUAAUGUCAGCAUAAUUUUUAUUCAGUUAACGGAAUGGUGGGAAAAUGCUAACAGUUUAUACGUUUUGUGGUAAAGUGAUGGUUUUACCAAACCGUGGUACUGACAUGAUGUGUCAGAAUAUCUUUAGUGGGAAAAUGAUAAUAUCCCUAAAAAUUUCUUCAAAGCCGAUGAUCGUACUAUAAGUACAUUUAAGCAAUCCACAAGACUAUUAAACUGUGUAUGCUUCCUUUUUUUUCUUUUUACUUUCAAUUACUCGUUAUUCUUCUUGUACAGUGGCUUCUGAAUUACUUUCUUUACUUUUUGAGAGCUCAAGCAAUUCUGUUGCUUCUUUCACUUUUGCAGCCAAUGACUCAAAGUGAAUCCAACAGCACGAGCAGCUCCGAGUGAUCCAUUUCCAAAAGCAUCUCAGUAAUCUUUGGUGAAAGACCACAUUGUCCAAAAGUUACUUACAUGUAAAUAUCAUUAAACCGAAGCUUAAAGCAGGUGAAAAUUGUGAGUACAUUCGCAGAAGGUUAAAACUUCAAUUUACUCCCUUAUUCUGAAUAACAAUCUACUAUUUACCUCAAAAAUAUAAAAACACUAAUUUAUCUCUUUUAUCAUUAAAAAGAUAAAAAAAAAUUAUUAUCAACACACUUUUCGUUUGCAGUGGUGGACCUACAGCAAGGCUAGACCGGGCGGUAGCCCGGUCAAACUUAGGAAAAAAUCAUUCAUACCCCUUAUUUUACUAUCAAUUAUAGACAAUAAUAGAGAUUUUAUUUUGUUUUCAUACAUGUCCCUAAUAUAAUUAUCCUUAUAUUUUCAUUAAUUUUAUACUAUAAUAGAGUUUUUAUUUUAUUUUUAAAUAUGUCCUCAAUUCAAUUAUAUUUUUUUCCAAUUGAAAUUAGUGACUUAUUUUAUAAAAUGAGUAAAUUAUAUAUUUACUAUAUAGAUAAAAAAACAUUAGGGGGUAAAAUGUUAUUACUUUAAUUUAUUUUAAAAAAUUCUAAUUGAAAAAACAGUAUGUCAAUCUAAUAUAAAAUUGUCACUAGUAUUAAACUACUUAAAAAAAAACAUGUAGUAACAAUUAUCAACAUUUUCAUAAACUUUUUAUGUAAAUUUUGAGAUUUUAUUUAUUAGUUAUAUUAACUAAGAUAAAAUUUGAAUAUUUUGAGGAGCUUUAAUUUGAUAGAAAAAUCAUCAACAACUAGUUCUUUAAAGAGAGUCAGAGCGUUUGGCAAAGAAACAACAAUACCUAAAUACGUUUUUGUUAGGUUGAAUUUAGUUUAUAAUUGAAACUUUUGACUAAUAAUAUUUUUAUAAUUUAAAAAGAGGAAUAAAUUUGAAUUGUUUAAUUUAUUGAAACCUGGUAAUUAAGUACUUGACUUCAAACAUUAAAAUUUUACUUCAAUUUUUAAUUGAUUGUAAUUACAUGUAUUCAUUUAUUUCAGCUUAAAAUCCUUAAUUAAUAUAUUAAUCCUUAUAUAAUCCUUGUAUGAUUACAUUUUAUUAGAGUGAGAUUUCAUAAUUGUAAAAUAGUGUUUUAUUUUUUUUAUUGCUUUUGUUUUCUACUCUUUUUAUAUAACUAUUUUUGUUUAUAACUUAUAGCGAUAAGACUUUUCGUGCCCCCCCUAUUUGGUGCAGUUUUUUCUACUUAUAAAUUUUUAUGCUCACUUUAAAAUAUAAUUUUUUUAAUUUAGCCCGGGUUAAUACAAAUUCCUGGGUCCGCCCCUGUUCAUUUGUCCUUAUCUUUUGAACGAAAAUGAAACUAAACUGAAGAUUAUCAUUCUACCCGAAGAAGAAUCGAAGUUGACCCUUCACAAAAAUAUGAGUAAUCACCUUGAGUUUCUUCACCAGCGGGUAGAGUCUUUGGCCAAGAAUAUCUUGUUGGGGAAAAAAUUAGGUUUUUAAAUUUUUUAUAAAACCUUUUGAAGAUCGCUCUCAUAUAAUAUAUAAGAAUUUGUAUUCUAGAAAUCGUACCUUGAAAAACCGAGUUGGCUUUUUCCGCUGAAGUGAUUUAGGCUCCUAGAUCACGAUCCGCCACCACCACUCCUAUUAGAUCACGAUCCUGCACCACCACGCUUGUUAGAUCACGAACUGUCACCAAUGAUCUUCCAGGUUAUGACUCAGGUUCGAUCUGCACUUGACGUGUGGACGCCUUUAUCACUACCAAAGCAACUAGCACGAGAAAAUUUUUCUCUCAACAAUUAGAGAGAAAAAUCUUUUUCUCAGAUCUGUAUAAAGUGGCUUCUCUUUUUUCCUUUUGAGAAAAUAAGCUUUAUAUAUCUCCCUUUAGUGAAAACCCUAAGCUCCAAGAAUGCCCAAAAUAAAACUCACGUUACUUUUCAUUUAAUAGGGGACCCACCAUGUAAAAUAACAUAAGGCCCCUUACACAUAAGCUUAUUAAAUGGAGCCUCCCACUAAAUGAUAUAUUUAGGCUUUUGACCCAAAUAGCUAGUUAUCUUGCUUAUUAGUCCAGUAGUGGUGCAGUCAAUUAAAUGAGCUAACCCGGGGAUCAUUUGGGAACAUACAAUAGUAGCUAUAAUAAUUAGGCCUGUAAUUAAACUAGCCUAAUUAUUUAAUUCCAAAUCUACUCCACUAAAAGAUUGGAACUGACUUCCAUAAUUGUAUGCUCGAAUAAUAAUUCGUCCCAAGCCACAUUGAUUUCUUUACUGCACAAUCCUUUGUACCACAUCGUUAAUUAAAUUGAUAUCUCAACUGUCCAAUCAAUUUAAUAACAUCUUAUUCCUUUAUCCUUACUGGUUUUCUAUAAUGAUCAUUUUCAACAUACUAAAUAUGUUGACACACUCUGGCCAGAGAAUUCUAUGAUCAAGUGCCGAAAACCCAUCAAGACAUGUGUUGUACAAAUUCUAUAUUGUUAAUCCAUAACUCCAAUACUCAUAAUUGCUCCCACUAAGAUACCGAGUAAUCCUGACCACAAGGAUGUGUCGUGCCCAUUGGUAACUCAAAUGGAAUAACAAUUACAAUCAUGAAAUCAUAAUUAACUCAAGAUUAAGAUUACAGUAAAAUCAAUGCCUAUGUGAUUUAAUAAGUCUGACAGUUAUUACAAAGUUAAUUAAAUCUCAUAUGUGAUCCUGUUCAAUGUAGUCGUACUACAUCAACAAAUUCAUACAUGAUUAAGACAAAUCAUUCAAUGAAUUUAUUACAGUCUAUACCUAAAUAAAGUGCCCAACUUUAUUUAUCAACUGCGAACUAAAUUUAUUUAAUCAUAAGAUAACUUGUAUUUAUGUCUUCUGUGAAUCCACAUGGUAAUCACAUAAAUACAUAUAAUAUGAUUAAAUGGACUUUAAUACAAAUAUUAAUGCAAUUAAGAUAUUUGAAUAAAAUACCUCAUCUAUUUUAUUAAUCAGAAAAAUUAUUUAUUACAAUUAAAUAAACACAUAUGCUUUUAAAGAGCAUAUUUUCCCAACAAUCUCCCACUAGCUCUCAAAGCAUAUUUGGCAUCUCACGCAUGCCCAUGGAUUCUAAGUGCAAGUUAAAAGGUUUCCCAGGUAUGGCCUUAGUAAAAGGAUCUGCCAAGUUUUGCUGUGACGCAAUCUGAGUAACCUCCACAUCACCUCUCUGCACUAUAUCCCUUAUAAGAUGAUACUUCCUCUCAAUAUGUUUUUGUUUCUUGUGGUUCCUUGGUUCCUUAGAUUGAGCUACCGCACCACUAUUAUCGCAAAAUAGUUUCAGGGGUGCAGUUACAGCAGGUACCACCUCAAGAUCUUGUAGGAACUUGCGGAGCCAUACAGCUUUUUUUGCAGCUUCGGAUGCAGCCACAUAUUCAGCUUCAGUUGUGGAGUCUGCGAUACAAGAUUGUUUCACACUCCUCCAACUAAUAGCUCCACUUCCCAAUGUAAACCAUAACCGGAAGUUGAUUUUCUGGAAUCCUUAUCUGACAUAAAGUCAGAAUCAGUAUAACCCACUAGAAUGAGUUCAUCACCAGAAUACACAAGCAUAUAAUUUUUAGUUCUUUUAUAUACUUCAUUAUAUGCUUGACCGCAGUCCAGUAUUCAGGUCCAGGAUUAGAUUGAUAUCUACUAACCAUCCCUACUGCAAAACAGAUGUCUGGCCUAGUGCAAAGCAUGGCAUACAUGAGACUUCCCACAGCUUCUGCAUAGGGAACUCAUCUCAUUCGCUCUAUCUCUUCAGAUGUUUUAGGUGAUUGAUCCUUAGAGAAUGUAAUUCCAUGUCUGAAUGGUAAUAAACCAGUCUUGAAAUUUUCCAUGCUAAAUCUAGCCAAUAUCUUAUCGAUAUAGACCGCUUGAGACAAGGCUAAAGUUUUAUUCUUCUGGUCUCGUAGUAACUUGAUACCAAGAAUAUAACUUGCCUCUCCUAGGUCUUUCAUAUCAAAUUGCUUUGCUAACCAACUCUUUAUUGUAGUCAAUACUCCUAUAUCGUUUCCAAUUAGGAGAAUAUCGUCUACAUAAAGAAUUAGGAAGGCUACAGAUUUUUCUUGAAUUUUCUUGUACACACAUGGUUCAUCAAUGUUCUGAAUGAAUCCAAACGAUUUAAUCGCUUGAUCGAAUCUGAUGUUCCAUGACCGGGAUGCUUGCUUUAAUCGAUAAAUGGAUCUCUGCAACUUACAUACCAUGUGUUUUUGGCAUUUUUGUAUAAAUCCAUCUGGUUACUGCAUGUAGAUGUUUUCUUCAAGAUGCCCGUUAAGAAAGGCAGUCUUGACAUCCAUUUGCCAAAUUUCAUAAUCUAGCACUGCAACAAUGGAGAGCAGAAUCCUGAUGGAUUUAAGCAUAGCAACCGGAGAAAAAGUUUCCUCAUAAUCGAUUCCCUCUUUCUGAGUAAACCAUUUGGCUACUAAUCUUGCUUUAAAUGUUUCCACCCUUCCAUCUACUACUCUUUUUCUCUUCUAGAUCCACUUGCACCCUAUAGGUUUUACCCCAUUUGGUGCCUCUACAAGUUCCCAGACUUUAUUGGAAUACAUAGAUUCCAAUUCUUGAUUCAUGGCCUUUUUCCAAAAUUCAACAUCUCUAUCUAUUAGAGAUUCGUUGUAACUAGUGGGAUCUUGUACAUGUUCAUCUGAGAUAGCCGUAUAGGUUUCUCCUAAAAGCAUGUAUCUCGCAGGUAACCUAGUUACCUUCCCACUACGACGAGGUUCUAAAAGUGAUGGUUGUUUAGGGUUAAUCAUGUGUUGAUCAUCUGGUUGUUGUUGUUCUUCCUAUUCUGUAACAGGCGUUGAAAGCUGAGCAUCAACCUGAUCACCUAACAGUUCUUCAAGUAUUACCUUACUCUUAGGUUUGAAGUUAUUCAUAUAGUCUUCCUCGAGGGAAGUGAAAUGUGUGCUCACGAUCACUUUCCAAUCUUGAGGACUAUAAAAUAAACCUCCCCUUGUUCCUUUAGGAUACCCCACAAACAUACAAACCUCAGAACGUGAAUCCAUUUUGUCUGCCUUUGGUUUCAGCACAUGUGCUGGUGAUCCCCAAAUACGAACAUGUCGUAAACUUGGUUUACGACCUGACCAUAAUUCUAUUGGGGUUUUAGGCACUGACUUAGAUGGAACUAAGUUCAAAAGGUAAACUGCAGUUUCCAGUGCUAGUCCCCAAAAAGAGAUUGGUAAUGACGAAUAACUAAGCAUAGAUCUCACCAUAUCCAAAAGAGUUCUAUUUCUUCUUUCAGCUACCCCAUUUUGUUGUGGUGUUCCCGGGGCAGUCAACUGAGAUAUAAUCCCAUUUUCAACUAGAUACUCUUUGAAAUCUCCUGAGAGAAAUUCACCACCUCGAUCAGAUCGAAGUUUCUUUAUGUUCUUAUCUAAUUGCUUUUCUGUCUCAGCCCUAUACUCUUUGAAUUUCUCAAGAGCUUCAGACUUAUGACGCAUCAGAUAAACAUAACCGUAUCUUGAGUAAUCAUCAGUGAAAGUGAUGAAAUACUCAUAACCUCAUCGAGCUUGUACAUUGAUUUGUCCACAUACAUCUGUAUGUACCAAUUCAAGUGGUACUGUUGCACGUACUCCUUUAGCCGAGAAUGGCCUUUUGGUCAUUUUUCCUUCUAAACAGGAUUCACAGAGUGGCAAUGAUUCAUUUUCUAAUGGACCCAAGAGCCCAUCUUUGAUCAUUCUCUGUAUCCUAUUUUGGUUUAUAUGACCCAAGCGUAAAUGCCAGAGGUAACAUUGGUUGGAAGAAAUAUUUCUUUUCUUAGAUAAAUAUGUAUGCUCAUCAUUAUUUAUCACUGUGUCAUGCAUAGAAUGGAUCAUUGGACUUAAAUGAUAUAAAUUAUCUUCCAAUGUACCAGAACAAAUAAGUCUCUUAUUUUGAAAAAUAGAAACAGAGUAUCCAAAAUUUACAGUGUACCCUUGCUUUGACAAACAAGCUACUGAAAUUAAGUUCCUCUUAAUGUCUGGAACAUAAAGACAAUUAUUCAAAACUAAAGUCUUAUUAUUAAAAGAUAAUAAAACAGAUCCAGUCUUCACUGCUGACACGAACUGUCAUGUCCCUAACUGCAGCUUGACGCUUCCUUCACUUAUUUUCCUAGUUUCCUGAAACCAAUAAAGUGAAUUACAAAUAUGAUUAGUUGCUCCUGAAUCCAACACCCAAGUGUCAAUAGGAUUCUGAACUAAACAGACCUCAAUUACAAAAAGAUUUCCCAUACCUGAUUUCACAAUCUUAGGGCAAUCCUUUUUCCAGUGACCUUUCUGUCCACACUUAAAGCAUUUGCCUUUCGGCUUGCUAUCUUGCUUGGUAGACGGUUUCUUUUUCCCAGCUUUCUUCUUACCUUUGCCUUUCGGCUUAGGCCCAGAAGAUGAACUUUUUUCAGUAAUAUUUAUGCUUCCUAGAGAUUUCUCAGCACGAUAGAUCUCUUCAGCAGAAUGGAGUUCGUUCAUCAAUUCAGUUAAGGUCAUGUUUCUUUUGUUCAUGUUAUAAUUGACCUUAAACUCCUUGAAUGUUUCUGGUAGAGAUUCUAGCACCAUGUCAAUCUUUGAGUUAUCAUCGAUUUGUGCUCCUUGAAUCUCAGCCUCAUUCAAAUAGUCCAUCAUUUUGAGGACAUGAUCACGAACUCUUGUGCCAUUCCCCAUUUUACUGUUCAUAAUUCCUUUCAGCGCUGCUUGUCUCGCUGAGCGAGUACUCUGCCCGAACAUCUGUUGGAGACUAUCCAUUAUUUCAGUGGCAGUCUCCAAGUUCUGAUGUUUGGUCUGCAGAAUAUUAGAAAUCGAGGCUAAAAUGUAGCACUUUGCCAUUUCAUUGGCCUUUUGCCAUUUCUCAUAAAGCCUCCUCUGAUUUCUAUGAGUAUCAUCCGCUGGAACUGGAGGGCAUGGCUGGGUUAAGACAUAUUUAUAAUUUUCAGCAGUCAGGACAAUGAAUAUAUUUCUUUUCCAAUCUAUAUAGUUCUCUCCAGUGAGUUUGUUUUGACUCAGAAUAAUAGUAAGUGGGCUUAGGGAAGACAUUUUCUGAAAAAUAAAACAUCCAUGCAUAAAUAAUUUGAAAUAAUAUUCACAAUAAAUGACAAAAAUGCAUAAAACCAUAAAUGCAUUUUAAUUUAUUGUAACGAUAAUCUAGUUCCGCUUUGACAAGCUAUCCGGUGGGGAAGUCAUGUCCAUACUUACUAGACUCAAUUACCCAUUGGAUUAUUUACUUUCAUGUAGAGACAUGAUAAAUAAUUAUCGUUAUCUUUUUGGGCCUAAAUUUGUUAACAGAGUUUCGUUGGGAAGGUUAAUAACAAAUUUUAGUUGAGUGUAUAACCAUUGUUUCAAUCUACGUAUUUUUCAUAUCAAUAGUCACCGUUGGGGUGAACAAUCGAUUGAAAAAUAUUUCAAUUUUAUCUUUGAAGAAGUUCAUCAAAUAAAAUAUCUAAUAUAUAUACCCUCCGAAGGGAGCAUCACCGUAUCAUGAAGUCGAGGUAUAUAUAUAAUUUUAUUAUUGAACUAACAAUGGAGCCCGUGGGAAAAUUAUCUUGAAUUUUCCCUCUCCCACUCAAUAUUUUAAAAUUGGUUUUUCCUUUUUAAAACAUACAUAUUGUUAAUUGCAUGCUUCCUAUAAUAUUAUCUAGAUGAUAUCAAAUAUUAUUAAGCAUACACAAAUUUCAAACAAUAUUAUGAAAUUCAUUAUUAAUGAAUGACAUGUAUCAUUAUGCAUAGAGUGGCACUACCUAUUCUAUAUGACAUUGUUAUCAUGGCAUGUGAUCAUCCAAAACAUAACAUAUAGAAAAACAAUUAAAUAAUCUUAAUUCAUGGCUUUCCUAAUAAUGAAAAAAUACAUUAACCCUAAGCCUAAUCUUCAUUAGGCUUCUUGUCAAUGUCCAUCUUCCAUAAGCUUGUCUUUGUUAAUGGACUAAGAGAAAUUGGGCUUUUAAAUUUAUAAUUGGUCCAAUUUUAAUUUUUGGAAGGAAAUAAAUAAAUAAUUAAAGUUUUUUAUUAAAAUAAAAUUUUUAGACCAAAAAUAAAUUUAAUGUGUUUAAUUUUAUCUAUGCAUUUUAAUCCAUUAAGCCCAAAUUUCAAUUGGGCCUAAAACUAGGAUUCUUUAAGCCCAAAAUUAUUUUUGGACUUAAAUGCAAAAAAUUUAAACGUGUCUGCCCAAAAAGAAAAACUAUGGAGCCAUAGGGACCUCAAUGAUAGAAACGAUUGAAACCCUAAAUCCAUAUUUUUCUCUUUCCUUUCUUCCCCAGCCGCCACCAGCAGACUGUUCAGAGACGCCGGCCAUCUACGACGCAUCUCCGACACCGAAACACCCGCCGCCACGUCGCCGGAAACGCACCAAACUCGCGCGGGCAGCAAGCUGCGUGUGCAGCGCGCGCUGCUCGCCAUUGCUGGCCGCGAGCGCUGCUUUGCAGUGUGCAGCUCAGCGCGCGCAGCUGCUGGCUGGCAGCGCGCGCUGCUGGCAGCGUGUGCUGCGAGCCGCGCGCUGCUGCCGCUGCGCGUGCAACGCGCGCUUACUGGCAGCAUGUGCUGCUGGCCGCGCGUUGCUUGCUGCUGGUUGCCGCUGUCAAAAUUUUCGGCCUCCGUCGCUCCGAUCUUGAAAAUCCGAGAUUAAUUUACAAAUUUCCUAGGCCAAUAUAGGCUUACAAAAAUUCUAUAAUAGUAAAAUAAAUCAAGAGGGAAACAUGGUGAUAAAAAACCACCCCUCUUGUUACAGAUCCAAACGAAAAAUACAAUAGAAAAUCUAACCAUGAAUUAAGACAAACCAUAAGCAUGCUUUAUUCAUAUAUUAAAUAAAUAAUAUACAUCUGAAUAAAAUGUGCCACUCUAAUACAUAAAUUUCAAGAUUAAUUUCAUACGAAAUUCUUAUAUAUUAAUAUGAGGCUGCUCUGAUACCAAUUGUUGGGGAAAAAUUAGGUUUUUAAAUUUUUUAUAAAACCUUUUGAAGAUCACUCUCAUAUAAUAUAUAAGAAUUUGUAUUCUAGAUAUCGUACCUUGAAAAACCGAGUUGGCUUUUUCCGCUGAAGUGAUUUAGGCUCCUAGAUCACGAUCCGCCACCACCACUCCUAUUAGAUCACGAUCCUGCACCACCACGCUUGUUAGAUCACGAACUGUCACCAAUGAUCUUCCAGGUUAUGACUCAGGUUCGAUCUGCACUUGACGUGUGGACACCUUUAUCACUACCAAAGUAACUAGCACGAGAAAAUUUUUCUCUCAACAAUUAGAGAGAAAAAUCUUUUUCUCAGAUCUGUAUAAAGUGGCUUCUCUUUUUUUCUUUUGAGAAAAUAAGCUUUAUAUAUCUCCCUUUAGUAAAAACCCUAAGCUCCAAGAAUGCCCAAAAUAAAACUCACGUUACUUUUCAUUUAAUAGGGGACCCCACCAUGUAAAAUAACAUAAGGCCUCUUACACAUAAGCUUAUUAAAUGGAGCCUCCCACUAAAUGAUAUAUUUAGGCUUUUGACCCAAAUAGCUAGUUAUCUUGCUUAUUAGUCCAGUAGUAGUGCAGUCAAUUAAAUGAGCUAACCCGGGGAUCAUUUGGGAACAUACAAUAGUGGCUAUAACAAUUAGGCCUGUAAUUAAACUAACUUAAUUAUUUAAUUCCAAAUCUACUCCACUAAAAGAUUGGAACUGACUUCCAUAAUUGUAUGCUCGAAUAAUAAUUCGUCCAAAGCCACAUUGAUUUCUUUACUGCACAAUCCUUUGUACCACAUCGUUAAUUAAAUUGAUAUCUCAACUGUCCAAUCAAUUUAAUAACAUCUUAUUCCUUGAUCCUUACUGAUUUUCUCUAAUGAUCAUUUUCAACAUACUAAAUAUGUUGACACACUUUGGCCAGAGAAUUCUAUGAUCAAGUGCCGAAAACCCAUCAAGAGAUGUGUUGUACAAAUUCUAUAUUGUUAAUCCAUAACUCCAAUACUCAUAAUUGCUCCCACCAAGAUACCGAGUAAUCUUGACCACAAUGAUGUGUCGUGCCCAUUGGUAACUCAAAUGGAAUAACAAUUACAAUCAUGAAAUCAUAAUUAACUCAAGAUUAAGAUUACAGUAAAAUCAAUGCCUAUAAGAUUUAAUAAGUCUGACAAUUAUUACAAAGUUAAUUAAAUCUCAUAUGUGAUCAUGUUCAAUGUAGUUGUACUACAUCAACAAAUUCAUACAUGAUUAAGACAAAUCAUUCAAUGAAUUUAUUACAGUCUAUACCUAAAUAAAGUGCCCAACUUUAUUUAUCAACUGCGAACUAAAUUUAUUUAAUCAUAAGAUAACUUGUAUUUAUGUCUUCUGUGAAUCCACAUGGUGAUCACAUAAAUACAUAUAAUAUGAUUAAAUGGACUUUAAUACAAAUAUUAAUGCAAUUAAGAUAUUUGAAUAAAAUACCUCAUCCAUUUUAUUAAUCAGAAAAAUUAUUUAUUACAAUUAAAUAAACACAUAUGCUUUUAAAGAGCAUAUUUUCCCAACAUAUCUUUCCUUUCAUUAGGGAAAGCAGCAGCAAGGAUGCUGCUCAAAUUUUCAUUGUAAGCAGCAGCUCUUUAAUUCCCAUUUGUCAGCUCUUUGAUUCCCAUUGGAAAAUUUAGCAUUGCCCAUUCAUCCUUCCUCCUCUAUAUUGCCUUACAGAAUUAGGAGCCUGUAAUACAAAAUUUUUAAUCCCAAAGUUAAGCAGAAGCGCAACAAUUCCAAAUACAUCCUAAACUUGAUUUUACGUUACCAUUAGAAACAAAGGAGAAGGAGGAGGAGGAGAAAAUCCAUUAGGAAUCAUGCCACCAUGCCUGAACCCUGGUGCUUGGUACACUUGUAAUGCACGUUGAUAAAGGGUCGGAUCUUUUGAGAUAACCAAACUUAUUAAUAUUUUUCCAAACUCGAAGAAUUUGUCCACCAAAAUCUCCUCAGUCACAUAAUCAUCUAAAUUCUUGACGUACAGGUUGUUAAAUGAAGCACUUUCUUGAAUCCUGCCAGCCCUUCUGAUGAAUGGACCAACAUAGCUGCCAAUUAAUGCCAGUGAACAUUAUUAAUGCGACAAAUAGUAAAUAAAUUAGCAUAUACGCAAAGAUGACACAUACAACUGUGGCUGGAUCUAAUAACUGGUUGCACCAUUGUUUUGCCCCUUUUAUAAAAUGUAAAAUUAAAAUUUACUAUUAAAAUUGUCAAAAACCAUUACGUGUGGCAAUAUUCAAAUCCAAAUUUAAAUCGGCAUUGAAAUUUUGAGAUAUGGAUCCACAUUUUUCUGAUUAAAGGAAAUAUUCGUAAAGAUUGCAGGCAUAUAUUUUGCAUAUCUAGAUUCGCAUGAUUCAAAAUUCAUAUAUAAUUUAAAAUUUAACAAAUUUGCCUAAUAAAAUCCAAUUAUAAUUGAACGAUCAACAAUUCAACACCUAGAAUAACAUUCAACAAUAUUAAAUUCAUAAAUAAAAAUACCAUAAAAUAAAUUAAACAUCAAGAAUAACAUAAAUUUAAGUCUAACACCACUACAAAUCCAUAAAUACGAACACCACAAGUCCACUUAGAUUCAAUUUAAAACCAUCACAAAUAAAAACACCACAACAAAUCUACACAAGUUUGAUUUUUUUUAUUUAACAUAUAUUUUUAUUCAAUUUUAAUGUAAUAAAUAAUUUAAUUAAAAAAUAAUGUGGAUCCAAAUAUUCAAUUUUCUGAAUGCAUUUCCAUCCGAAUCCGUGCAUAUUUUAUUUUUUGGCAUCCUAAUCUAUACUUUUCAAUAUGUGGAUCCAAAUCUUUACAAAUCUGGGUCGGAUCUAGAUUUUUUUACGAUCCCUACAAACAAUUACCAUGUUUGAUAGGUUAAAAAAAUAUAGGCACACGUUAGACAAUAGUAUAAAGUUAGAGUAUUGGACUAUUCUUUUUAAAAUUAAAUCAGUCUUUUGUUUGGUGCUGCAAAGAUAAGUGAGGAUUAUGUACCUUAAGACCACACCAUUUAAUCUUGGACACAUACUUUUAUAAAGUAGAAUGAAAAAUUUUCCCAUAGGGACCCUAGGGAUAAUGUGGGAUAAUUUUUUUCAUGCUUAAAAAUAAUUGUAGAAUAACUACACAAUGAAAUAUCUAUAUCUAUUAUUACAUUAUAUUACAUUGAUUAAAUAUGUAUUUACUUCAAUAUUCAUUUUACUUAAAUAAUAAUAAAAAUGUUAGAAUUUAUAUUUUGUGUGUUUGUGUGUGUGUUUGUAUGUAUAUACAUACAUAUACACACAUAAAUGAUCAGUUACACACAUUAUUGUACGCGACGAGCCAUGUGUCAUUUAAUGAUUAGUUGUGUCGCACAUCUAAUUAUGUGUGUGCAUUAUAAUAAUAAUAAUAAAAUAAAAACAACUUAAAUUAAUAUUCAGGUUUUUUAUUUAAUAUUUCGAAUAUUCGUAUUAUUAAAUUUAUAUUUAUAAAUUUACUCUUAUAAAUAAAAUACUUUUAAAUAUUUAAUAAUUAAUAAAUCAAUAGUAAUAUACUUUAUUUUCUUAUAAACUGUUUUAGUAAAAUCCUACAUAGUAUACCAAACAUGAGAUAAUAUUAAAUAUAAAUCCAGCCCAAUCUUAUUUUAUCCUACUAAACCCAAUAUAUUAUUACCCAUAAUCCAUCUUAUAAAAAAAAAGUAAUUUAAGUUCUCGUGCUGACUGGAGCUGGAAACCUGAAAGGCGGAAAGCCUAGCUAUAGGGGUGUUCAGAAUCCAUUCCAAUCCGCUCAAUCCGUCUGAUCCGUAAAAAUUCGAUCUGUGGAUUAGUGGAUUGGAUUGGAUUGAAAAUUUGAUAAUCUGCAAUCGGUGGAUUGGAUAUGAAUCUACUUUUAUAAAUCCGUAAAAAUCCACGAAUACGCAAAAAAAUAAAGAGUAUUUAUUUAAUUAAAAAAACUUGUAAAUAUGACAUUAUUACUUACUAGUAAAUAAAUAAGUUAAAAUAUAGUUAUAUUAACACUAUAUUAUAUCUUAUCUGAUGAUAAUAUAAAAUAAACAAAUAAACAAAUAAAUAAAUAAAUAAAUAAAGCUUCUUAAAUAGUUAAUUUCCAUGUGCUGAUAUAAACUAAUGAGAUUUUUUUCGUUUUGGUGUGUUAUAUUUUGAAACUUUAAAUGUAUUUUCUACCUUUAUUUAAACAGUUAAUUUAUGUAAAUCUUAUUUGAUUUUAAAUUUCAUCUGUAGUAAAAUUAUUUUUAUAUUAAAUUUUUUUAUUUAGUUAGUUUGUGGAUUGGACAAAAUUAAAAAUUUUUAGUCCGCAAAAUAAUAGAUUAGAUAUGGAUUAGGUCAAAUCCGCAUCCGAUCCACAGAUAUAUGAAUUGAAUUUGAAUUAAAUUUCACCAAUUCGUGGAUUGAAUUAGAUUAAAAAUUUAUAAUCUAUAAAAUCAUGAAUCGGAUAUAAAUUAAUAGCCAAUCCAUAAAAUUCGAUUUGCGAACACUCCUAACUAGCUGAAGCUCUUACCUCAAUUUCCAGUUGAAAAUUAAUAAUUAAUAAUCACUAAUUAAAAAUUAAAGAUGAACGCUCACUAAUUAAUAAGUAAUUUAAGUUCCUUUUUAUUAUUUAUAUACACUUCCCAUCUUCCUCUCUCCUUCUCUCUGUUUCUUCUUAAGUCGUCGCUCUCUCGCUUUAUUUGUGUGACCAUCACUUCAAUUCGGUUCCUCAAAAUUUCCUUUCAUUUUACCUUUCUGCUUUCGACAAUGUCUCGACGUGGUGGCGGUGGUCGUAGGCCGGAUUCUCGCCGUGACCAGCCGACUCAGGCACGGGCGCCGUCAUUCCAGCGGGGUGGCGGCGGAGCCGCUGGACCACGCGGCCGAGGUCGUC
Molecule: long non-coding RNA, 29682 nt
Filed under: Citrus x clementina
Lineage: Eukaryota; Viridiplantae; Streptophyta; Magnoliopsida; Sapindales; Rutaceae
Description: Citrus clementina (C. clementina) long non-coding RNA (CCLE_LNC001110)
Source: RNAcentral